RNAcentral lists this ribosomal RNA (753 nucleotides) under uncultured Glomeromycotina. RNAcentral describes it as "SSU rRNA". It matches the Rfam family "Eukaryotic small subunit ribosomal RNA", at positions 338 to 1092 of the family's 1831-position model. The record is from RNAcentral. Lineage: Eukaryota; Fungi; Glomeromycota.
GGCCUACCAUGGUGGUAACGGGUAACGGGGUGUUAGGGCACGACACCGGAGAGGGAGCCUGAGAAACGGCUACCACAUCCAAGGAUGGCAGCAGGCGCGCAAAUUACCCAAUCCCGACACGGGGAGGUAGUGACAAUAAAUAACAAUACGGGAUUCUAAAGGAUUUCGUAAUUGGAAUGAGUACAAUUUAAAUCUCUUAACGAUCAACAAUUGGAGGGCAAGUCUGGUGCCAGCAGCCGCGGUAAUUCCAGCUCCAAUAGCGUAUAUUAAAGUUGUUGCAGUUAAAAAGCUCGUAGUUGAAUUUCGGGGUUAGUAGGUUGGUCAUGCCUCUGGUAUGUACUGAUCUCACUGAUUCCUCCCUCUUGACGAACUGUAAUGUCAUUAAUUUGGUGUUGCAGGAAAUCAGGACUGUUACUUUGAAAAAAUUAGAGUGUUUAAAGCAGGCUAAGGCUUGAAUACAUUAGCAUGGAAUAAUGAAAUAGAACGUUUGAACCUAUUUUGUUGGUUUCUAGGAUCGACGUAAUGAUUAAUAGGGAUAGUUGGGGGCAUUAGUAUUCAAUUGUCAGAGGUGAAAUUCUUGGAUUUAUUGAAGACUAACUACUGCGAAAGCAUUUGCCAAGGAUGUUUUCAUUAAUCAAGAACGAAAGUUAGGGGAUCGAAGACGAUCAGAUACCGUCGUAGUCUUAACCAUAAACUAUGCCGACUAGGGAUCGGAUGAUGUUAAUUUUUUAAUGACUCAUUCGGCGCCUUACG